AGUGAACGCUGGCGGUAGGCCUAACACAUGCAAGACGAACGGCAGCACAGUAAGAGCUUGCUCUUACGGGUGGCGAGUGGCGGACGGGUGAGGAAUACAUCGGAAUCUACUUUUUCGUGGGGGAUAACGUAGGGAAACUUACGCUAAUACCGCAUAAGACCUACGGGUGAAAGCAGGGGAUCUUCGGACCUUGCGCGAUUGAAUGAGCCGAUGUCGGAUUAGCUAGUUGGCGGGGUAAAGGCCCACCAAGGCGACGAUCCGUAGCUGGUCUGAGAGGAUGAUCAGCCACACUGGAACUGAGACACGGUCCAGACUCCUACGGGAGGCAGCAGUGGGGAAUAUUGGACAAUGGGCGCAAGCCUGAUCCAGCCAUACCGCGUGGGUGAAGAGGGCCUUCGGGUUGUAAAGCCCUUUUGUUGGGAAAGAAAAGCAGCAGGUUAAUACCCCGCUGUUCUGACGGUACCCAAAGAAUAAGCACCGGCUAACUUCGUG
RNAcentral lists this ribosomal RNA (492 nucleotides) under uncultured bacterium. Its description in RNAcentral is "partial 16S ribosomal RNA". It matches the Rfam family "Bacterial small subunit ribosomal RNA", at positions 29 to 507 of the family's 1533-position model. The record is from RNAcentral.